GACGAACGCUGGCGGCGUGCCUAAUACAUGCAAGUAGAACGCUGCAGUGAGGAGCUUGCUCUUCUUGGAUGAGUUGCGAACGGGUGAGUAACGCGUAGGUAACCUGCCUUCUAGCGGGGGAUAACUAUUGGAAACGAUAGCUAAUACCGCAUAACAAUGGUUUACACAUGUCAUUUAUUUGAAAGGGGCAAUUGCUCCACUACAAGAUGGACCUGCGUUGUAUUAGCUAGUAGGUGAGGUGACGGCUCACCUAGGCGACGAUACAUAGCCGACCUGAGAGGGUGAUCGGCCACACUGGGACGGAGACACGGCCCAGACUCCUGCGGGAGGCAGCAGGAGGGGAUCUUUGGCAAUGGGGGCAACCCUGACCGAGCAACGCCGCGUGAGUGAAGAAGGGUGUCGGAUCGUGAAGGUCUGGUGUAAGUCAAGAACGAGUGUGAGAGUGGAAAGUUCACACUGUGACGGUAGCUGAGCAGAAAGGGACGGCUAACUACGUG
Molecule: ribosomal RNA, 497 nt
Filed under: uncultured bacterium
Lineage: Bacteria
Description: partial 16S ribosomal RNA
Rfam family: Bacterial small subunit ribosomal RNA
Source: RNAcentral